GCAGUGGUAAUUCAGUGGUAGAGUUCUCGUCUUCUGUGAGGGAGACCCAGCUUCAAUUCCUGGCCAAUGUA
Molecule: transfer RNA, 71 nt
Filed under: Loxodonta africana (African savanna elephant)
Lineage: Eukaryota; Metazoa; Chordata; Mammalia; Proboscidea; Elephantidae
Rfam family: tRNA
About the family: Transfer RNA (tRNA) molecules are approximately 80 nucleotides in length.
Source: Rfam by way of RNAcentral